AACUUUCCGAAUCCGCACAGAGAUUUCGUCAGAUACCAACCCAUUUGUGCUGAUCAAACUUCCAAGAUUAAUGAAAUU
RNAcentral lists this microRNA precursor (78 nucleotides) under Schistosoma margrebowiei. RNAcentral's name for it is "mir-3492 microRNA precursor family". It matches the Rfam family "mir-3492 microRNA precursor family". The record is from Rfam by way of RNAcentral. Lineage: Eukaryota; Metazoa; Platyhelminthes; Trematoda; Strigeidida; Schistosomatidae.